UCUCUAUGUACUCCAUCACGUUGACCAACCAUUGAACCAACUGUGCAUCACUCCACACCACAGGCUCCAAAUAAGCAUAUUGAUCCUUCUUUGAUCCUCUUGGCUUGAAUGACCGGAGACCUCAACUUGUCUCAGAAAACAUGCCUACUCUUAAAAGGAAAGUGAAAGAACAUGAAAGAAAAAACAAGGAAAUAGGCAGAAAAUGUUUUAAAAUCAAUCAAAUGUUUUCAGGAAAAAAGAAGAAAAUAAAUGCAGCAGAGUUAGAUCCUGUACCCAGCACCUCUGAUCCUGUACCCAGCA
This is a long non-coding RNA of Pseudophryne corroboree (corroboree frog), 300 nucleotides long. RefSeq lists it as uncharacterized. The transcript is spliced from 3 exons. The record is from RefSeq and is a predicted model, not a curated record. Lineage: Eukaryota; Metazoa; Chordata; Amphibia; Anura; Myobatrachidae.